GAUGAACGCUGGCGGUAUGCUUAACACAUGCAAGUCGAACGGACUCUUCGGAGUUAGUGGCGGACGGGUGAGUAACGCGUGAGAAUCUGGCUUUGGGUUCGGGACAACCACUGGAAACGGUGGCUAAUACCGGAUGUGCCGAGAGGUAAAAGAGAAAUUGCCUGAAGAUGAGCUCGCGUCUGAUUAGCUAGUUGGUGAGGUAAAGGCUCACCAAGGCAGCGAUCAGUCGCUGGUCUGAGAGGAUGACCAGCCACACUGGGACUGAGACACGGCCCAGACUCCUACGGGAGGCAGCAGUGGGGAAUUUUCCGCAAUGGGCGAAAGCCUGACGGAGCAAUACCGCGUGGGGGAAGAAGGCUCUUGGGGUGUAAACCUCUUUUCUUAGGGAAGAACAAAAUGACGGUACCUAAGGAAUCAGCAUCGGCUAACUCCGUG
RNAcentral lists this ribosomal RNA (435 nucleotides) under uncultured bacterium. RNAcentral's name for it is "partial 16S ribosomal RNA". It matches the Rfam family "Bacterial small subunit ribosomal RNA", at positions 28 to 507 of the family's 1533-position model. The record is from RNAcentral.